Molecule: non-coding RNA, 71 nt
Organism: Podarcis lilfordi (Lilford's wall lizard)
Lineage: Eukaryota; Metazoa; Chordata; Lepidosauria; Squamata; Lacertidae
Source: the annotation of a GenBank genome assembly
GGUCCACAGCUCAGUGGCAGAGCAUCUGCUUCGCUUGCAGAAGGUCUCAGGUUCAAUCCCUGACAUCUCCA